Molecule: long non-coding RNA, 2582 nt
Filed under: Megachile rotundata (alfalfa leafcutting bee)
Lineage: Eukaryota; Metazoa; Arthropoda; Insecta; Hymenoptera; Megachilidae
Description: uncharacterized LOC105663104, transcript variant X1
Source: RNAcentral
CGUGCAUAUAAUUAGCACACGCUAUAUCACCGAGAGUGCAAUUACCACUCGUUAUAUCGCCGUGCAUAUAAUUAGCACACGCUAUAUCACCGAGAGUGCAAUUACCACUCGUUAUAUCGCCGUGCAUAUAAUUAGCAUACGCUAUAUCACCGAGAGUGCAAUUACCACUCGUUAUAUCGCCGUGUAUAUAAUUAGCACACGCUAUAUCACCGAGAGUGCAAUUACCACACACUACAUCGCCGCGCGUGUAAUUACUACUCGUUAUAUCGCCGUGCGCGGAAUUAGCACACGCUAUAUCACCGAGAGCGCAAUUACCACACGCUAUAUCGCCGCGCGUGUUAUUACUACACGCUUUAUCGCCACGCAUAAUUACCACACGCUAUAUCACCGAGAAUGUAAUGUCACACAUUGAAUUACUAUACGCCAUAUUGCUACAUGUCAAAUUACCACUCGGGAUAUGGUCAUACUACUAUUAGAAUAUUACACGUUAUAAUUACUACGCGCUGUCCCUCACGCUAUAUCGCCACAUAUAAAUUCAAAUUAUACUUGAAUAAUUUAAAAUGAGUAAAAAGUAAUAUAGCAAAGGUGGCAACCGUUUACACCGAGUCUUCUCUCAUUUUCCACGAACUCCGUAUAUACAUUUUUCGUGCCGGACAGGUCAUGAAAUAUUCGCGGCUCUGCCACAAGUUUCUUCUUCGCCGUGUGUAUUUUGCAUUUUAUCGGUCGAUUUCUUUGUCUGAACCCUACCGUUAAUGGCGACGGAGAUAAUUAGGUGACAACAGCUGGCUUGGCCGGCUAUCUGUUCGUAACAUUAACGCUGCGCAGUAGUACAAUCUACAGUACUGCGCACAAGAGACAAACAUCACGCGUAGUUAUUUUUCGUAUGUAUAUAUGUAUAUGUAUACGAGUGUGGGCGUGUUUGAGGUUCGCGUACACGUGCGGCGGGUGCGUGUAUCGUUGCAGGGAACCGCGUGUUUUUAAAUGACCAUGGCUGUCACGCGGAGAACGUGUACGGGUUCUUUAUAAAACAGCUGUUAGGGGCAGCAGAAGCCAUGCCAGUCGAAAUGCAGCUAGAUCAAUACCAUCGUCUGCCGGAGAAUUUAUACGUGGGGUGUUACAGGGGAAACCGGUGGACGAGGGUGCGCGUUAAACCCUCCAACGACGUUGUCAACCAUGCGAACAGCACUUAUGUCUAAGAAUUUUCUAACUUCGAUAAUAUGCAGUUAUGUUCAAUUUCUGCAUCGAUUUUAACUGAUAUUGUCUUUAAAAUAUUUUACGCAAUGCGGUAAUGGGCGAUUCUAAUCUGUUGGGCAAAAUCUAGGAAAAAACCUGGCACGAUAGUGAAAGAAUCGAGAAAGAGCUGAGAAAGAUUAAUGCAAAACCAGAGGUGUUAUUAUCUGUUAUUGAUAUCGUACCGAUAAGUUUACUGACACUUAAUGAUCGAAUGGUGGGAUAUUCACUGCUCCUUCGUUUCCCCUUAACCGAGGGAAGCCUAAGUUGGGAUAUGCCUACCGAGAAAUGACGCAAGUAAAAGAAAAUGGUAUUCCAGAAAAUUGCAAAGUGCCAAAAUCGUGUCUCGGGAUGGGUACAGCGUUUGGCACGUGUGCGUAUAGAUACACAAGUAAGUGGCACCCGAAAGAGUCCGCAGUGGCGUCGCUUGACGACGAAAAUUUCAAAUGAACAUAGCGUUCCGUUUCCAAGAAUCGUCGAUGAGUCAUACCGUGGCAGGUCGUGUGGGCGGUGAACGGGGUAGCCGGAACAUAUCGAACAAGACGCGUGACUCACCAAUCUGAUAUGUUGGAUAUUCGCGCCUUUAACCUGCUCCCUUUGGAUGGCUAGACGUUCUUCAACCUGCCGUUUCCUCCUGCUUUGAAGCACAUGCGCAGGUGCCCACCUGCGUAGCGAAAUAACCAACUCAAUGAAGCUCUAAGUUACUGGUUCCGUCCUGUCUCAUUCUCCAUUAUUAGUUUUACGCAUGAUCAACCGUGAACUGCGACGAACGCCGAUCAGAUCGAGGAGGAAGAUAAAUCAGUCAUUUCUUCAAAUCGAGAUAUCUAAUGUAAACGACAAAAUUUUAGGAGAUUCGAAGAUUUGGGGAUUUGAAAAUUUAGGAAAUUUGAGAAGAGGAUUUGAGGACUGGAACAAGUGGAGAUUAUGAAAUUUUGGAAUCUAUAAAUUUAGAAAAUAUUAAGGAAUUCUUCGUCGAAGAAAAUGCAUCGAAGGAGCACACGGUUAUGCCUCAAAGAUAUGUCUCAUUACGGUCAUGAAGGGACUGACAUUCACCUGCUUAGCUUCGCACCAUGAUGAAAUUCGAAUAGACAGCCGGUCGUCGUCCUUGAGCUAACUUCUGCCUAUAGCCAAGGCCUCGACUUAGCGGCCACAUUUGAACGUUACCCGAUUGGAAAAAUUACGACGCCAUGGAAUGUCAUUGCCGUUUGGUAAAUCGGUGCCGCCGAUCUGCCUCGCAUGUGCUCGGGGAAUACACGCGGUCUCGUUGUUUCGCGAGGAAAUCUAGGUUAAGUUGUUCGCAAAGUUUUUUGAGGUUAAUAAAUCUGUCGAUCUUCCUGGUGUAACAAAGCGCA